AAGUGAACAGGCAAGAGCUCAGAUUUGAAAGGCACUUUUGUGCCGUUGUAUUCUGAAGUUAGGGUCCUGAGAAACGAUGCUUAAGUCUUCUGGAAAGGAGCGCCAUGGAGGGUGAUAGCCCCGUCUAGCAUUGACCUCAUAUAGGAUCUUAACAUGGAGUCGAGUUGUUUGGGAAUGCAGCUCAAAUGGGUGGUAUGCUCCAUCUAAAGCUAAAUAUCUGCGAGAGACCGAUAGUAAACAAGUACUGUGAGGGAAAGAUGAAAAGAACUUUGAAAAGAGAGUGAAAAAGUACGUGAAAUUGUUGAAAUGGAAGGGUAGGCCGCUAACCAUGUAGAGCCGUGUUUGGGGGGAAGAUAAAUGCUGUAGAAUGUAGCUCCUCGGAGUAUUAUAGAUGCAGUUCAUAUUCCCACCCGAGCGCGAGGAUCUCAGGUUCUACUAAAUGGUGGUCU
Molecule: ribosomal RNA, 449 nt
Filed under: Starmerella bacillaris
Lineage: Eukaryota; Fungi; Ascomycota; Dipodascomycetes; Dipodascales; Trichomonascaceae
Description: partial large subunit ribosomal RNA
Rfam family: Eukaryotic large subunit ribosomal RNA
Source: RNAcentral